CCUGAGAAACCCAAAAGAUCGAAUGGGGAGAUUCAUCGUCAGCUCAUUUUGUAUAUAUUCGAGAUAUGAUAUGGGUUACUACUUGUAGUAUUGCCUGUACUUUCUUGUCUAUUUUAUUGCAAGAUUGUGUCGGCGUGCACUUCUCCUCUAGUAGGACGUCGCGACCCGUUAAGUGUCGGUCUACGGCCCAAGUGGUAGCCUUGAAUUUUGUAUAAAAUUUAAGACCCUUGGUGUUUCCUGACUGGCUGCUUGGCGGUAUUCAUACGGUAUUAAGCCGCUUUUUUGCGUUCAUAUCCGUCGCAAGCGCGGUGAAUUUUUGGCAGUACGGACCUCGUGCCGUCGCUAAAAUUUAUCAGCUGUUGGUUGUACGGUGUUCUAGAACUGGCUUAUAUUAUAAUAUACCGGUCAGCGAUGCUUCAGCUUUGGGUACUUUCAGGACCCGUCUUGAAACACGGACCAAGGAGUCUAACAUGUACGCAAGUCAUUGGGAUUGUUUAAUAAAUUAAACCUAAAGGCGUAAUGAAAGUAAAGGUCGACCUUGUGUCGAUUGAGGGAGGAUGAGUUGUGUUAAGAUACAGCUUCGCACUCCCGGGGCGUCUCGUUCUCAUUGCGAGAAGAGGCGCACCUAG
This 629-nucleotide ribosomal RNA is filed under the name Gnathopleura sp. RMNH-Jo707. RNAcentral's name for it is "eukaryotic LSU rRNA". It matches the Rfam family "Eukaryotic large subunit ribosomal RNA", at positions 420 to 798 of the family's 3401-position model. The record is from RNAcentral. Lineage: Eukaryota; Metazoa; Arthropoda; Insecta; Hymenoptera; Braconidae.